GACAGAGGGUGCAAACGUUGUUCGGAAUUACUGGGCGUAAAGCGCGUGUAGGCGGCCCUGCAAGUCGGAUGUGAAAUCCCACGGCUCAACCGUGGAAGUGCAUUCGAAACUGCAGGGCUAGAGUCCUGGAGAGGAAGGUGGAAUGCUUGGUGUAGAGGUGAAAUUCGUAGAUAUCAAGUGGAACACCGGUGGCGAAGGCGGCCUUCUGGACAGUGACUGACGCUGAGACGCGAAAGCGUGGGGAGCAAACAGG
This 253-nucleotide ribosomal RNA is filed under the name uncultured bacterium. Its description in RNAcentral is "partial 16S ribosomal RNA". It matches the Rfam family "Bacterial small subunit ribosomal RNA", at positions 524 to 776 of the family's 1533-position model. The record is from RNAcentral.